GAUGAAGAACGUAGCGAAUUGAGAUAAGUAGUGUGAAUUGCAGAAUUCAGUGAAUCAUCGAAUCUUUGAACGCACAUUGCGCCCUUUGGUAUUCCAAAGGGCAUGCCUGUUCGAGCGUCAUUUGUACCCUCAAGCUUUGCUUGGUGUUGGGCGUCUUGUCUCUAGCUUUGCUGGAGACUCGCCUUAAAGUAAUUGGCAGCCGGCCUACUGGUUUCGGAGCGCAGCACAAGUCGCACUCUCUAUCAGCAAAGGUCUAGCAUCCAUUAAGCCUUUUUUUUCAACUUUUGACCUCGGAUCAGCUAGGGAUACCCGCUGAACUUAAGCAUAUCAAUAAGCGGAGA
RNAcentral lists this unclassified non-coding RNA (341 nucleotides) under soil metagenome. RNAcentral's name for it is "partial contains 5.8S ribosomal RNA, internal transcribed spacer 2, and large subunit ribosomal RNA". The stretch from base 1 to 120 matches the Rfam family "5.8S ribosomal RNA", at positions 35 to 154 of the family's 154-position model. The record is from RNAcentral.